UACGAAGGGUGCAAACGUUGCUCGGAAUCAUUGGGCGUAAAGCGCAUGUAGGCGGAUCCAUAAGUCGGGCGUGAAAUCCCCAGGCUCAACCUGGGAACUGCGCUCGAAACUGUGGGUCUUGAGUGUCGGAGAGGAUGGCGGAAUUCCUGGUGUAGAGGUGAAAUUCGUAGAUAUCAGGAGGAACACCGGUGGCGAAGGCGGCCAUCUGGACGACAACUGACGCUGAGAGUGCGAAAGCGUGGGGAGCAAACAGG
RNAcentral lists this ribosomal RNA (254 nucleotides) under uncultured bacterium. RNAcentral's name for it is "partial 16S ribosomal RNA". It matches the Rfam family "Bacterial small subunit ribosomal RNA", at positions 524 to 776 of the family's 1533-position model. The record is from RNAcentral.